GAGCACGGCGGGGCGGGGACGGAGCGCAGCCCGCCCGGGGGCGGGUCCCGCGGACCCCUCGGUGCGAGAGCGCCCGGCGCGGCCCCCGCCUGGAUGCGUGUGACGGCGCACGGGAGGGCUGGCAGCGACACAGCCAGAAGCGGAACCGGUCCAGGCUGCUGGCGGCAGUUCGGCUCCCCGUCCGCAGAGGCGAGGACUACAGAGCACGGAAAAAACCUCCCGCUACAUAAAAUGUAACUCCAGAAACCGUGUAAGCGGUUAUAAAUUCUUCAAGUCCUCCGAGGAAAACAAAGAAAGCAAUGCCCUGAGCUUCAGAAAGAUGCUGGAGAUUCAGUACAGCUGCCAAACUGAAUGUAGAAUUCCCCACAUUCCUCUGGAAUCAAGACGCAGAACAGCUCCAGUCACGUCCCGGACUGCGCAGCGCUGAUUUACCUCCUAAGCUGCCUUAGAAAGUGCUGCAUGAUGGAAACGUGGAAGUAACAGACACACCUUCAAGAAGAUACAGCUUCAUAAAAGGCCGGGACUGUGCCAUGGCUUGCAGCUUUUGCUGCACUGGAAGGAGGACUGAAGUGUGAGUCCAUCAUCUUUUGUCACUUUAAAGAGCCAAGACUCUUUUUAGCCAAAGUCUACAGCAUAUAAUCAAAGCUUCAGGAGACCAACAGAAGUUGAGCACGUGCACAGCUGCUCAAAGUCUCCUUUUUCUGUUUUUCAUCCAACUAUCAUAGUUUGCUUGGACAAAAACAACAAACUGUUAUUAGGCAGAGAGCAAAGAGCAAAGCAACAGAGAGAGUACAGCAUCUCAGCAGAGUUCUCCAAGAAGAGGCACAAAAAUUAAACUUACUUUCAUCAAAAGUGCUGAAUUUUCCUCUGAGGAGGCACUGAAAUCAGACUCAUUAGGAGAAUGUUUUAAUAUUUUUUUCCCCUGCUGGAGCAUACAUACACAGUGAAAUAAUAACCACACCAUACCUCUUUUAAGAGAAAUCAGUAUAUGGAGUAAACUUCAAAUGCCUGCUUCUCCCUUUUCAAUGUUCAAUUGCACUUCACUCAUAAAAAGCUCUUUUGAAACCCAAGGGAAAGGUCUGACUGAUGGAAGCUACUCUAUAUUGCAGCCUCCAAUUGUUGUUAAGAGGAGAAACCCUUCCAGGUAGCACCAUUAAAGUAACUAGAACUGGCAAAGAUAUAUUUGCUGAAAAAUCAGUUUCAAAAUACCAGCUCUUUGCUUCUACUUAUCAGCUGAGGAGACAUGUGUUCUAAGCCAGCUGGAUGACACCAAUUAGUAUGUAAAGCAGUAUGAGCAAUAACAGUUCCCUGCAGAGCCAGACACUUGUUAUUGUUAACUGGACACACCAGCAAGGGUGCAGCAGCUGAAAGGGACCCACAUCACUGAAAGUAAGAUUGAACAGGUUGCUUACAGGGAGAGGCUGGUAGAGGAUUCCACGUUCUGUUUACAUUCCAGUGAGCAGAAUUCUGCUCUGAAGAAGAAUUUCCAUCAACCAUUUCUUUCCAACAACCAUUUCUUACUCUCAGGCUCCUGCAAAAGGCCACAUUAUUUGUGUAACAGAAAUCAGGUCAGGACUCAGCUACUGUUAAAGGAAAUAAUGUGACAUUUUUGGUAAAUAACUCGUCUAUAGCUGCAUUGCAUAAUUUAACAGCCAAAGAAGAGUCUGUACAAAGUCAUCCUACCUGACACUGAGGAAACUCAGAAAACUGCUCCCUUGCUACUACAUCUACUGCAGGCUUUUAUUUUUUUCACAAGAUCCCCACUUUAACUGAAGCAAACACCACCCAUUGCGAGUCUAUGAGAUACCCAUAUCCAUCUGCACUUCCUAGAACAAAGCCUAUUACAGCCUGAGCACAAAAUGCCCUCAGGGAACUGAUGUGGGUGAAACUGAGGCACUGCUGAACACUGGGCAGCCCACAGAACUGACGCAGCCCAUAGGGACAGCACCUUCCUCCCCUCAGGCCCAAGCCUCUGCACAGACCCCAGAAUCUUUCAGGAGAGCAAGGGAAGCAAAAGGCACAGCUUUAGCAAGUUUUCAAUAAAACACACGUUACUUGUUUAACAGCUUGUUACAAUUCAUCUCCAAGAUGAUCCCUGUGUACUUCUUAACACGGUGAAGGAGGCUUAAGUCUUUUUUAUAGCUUACCAUUUCAUCAUCUCACCCUUGCUAACAGCCCUCUUCUCCACUGAGCUCCUUUCCAUAGUUGUUACCUUUUCCUCUCAGGUGAUGUAGUUGACAUACACGCUGGGUUUAACACAGAGCCAUUACUCUCAGCUCUGCCCUUCUACUGCUUCCAUCUCAAACCCAAUACCCAAGUCAUUAGUUUUGUUUUUUUAACUAUAUCAGCAGGACCAACCAAAAACCCUUUCCCCCAGUCUUCCCUCUCUUUACACAACAUCCUGCUCUCUUCAGGUUGAGAUAUAUGCUGUCAUAAACUACUCCUCUAAGCUUAUGCAAGGCUGGAAGUGUGAGGUGAGAGAAGUGCCAGACACAGGACAGCUCAAUGCACUCAUCCUCCAGGAAAAGGACUGCUGCUGGUGCAGGCAGCACCCCAUUUCCUAAGCUUUAACAAGCAGUUUCUUAAAAAACUUCCACCUUAACUACCAGUUGUCCAGAGUGGCAGUGGGUGGUAAGGAAUGAGAGGAAAGGCUGCACAAAGGAAACAACUUCCAGAACCUUCCUGGCUUGCUAAACACACUAUUAACCAACCCUAAUUAGAGCCCAGACACCUGCUGCUUUCAGAGCCAGCAGGCCCACAGCUCAUCAUAGGCCCCGCCUGCUGCAUGGGCACCGGAUGGAUUUAAGGCAGAGGAAGCUUUCCAGCUAAGGGCUGGGAGAAGAGCAAGAUGUUUCUGCAGGGAGUGGAGGACUGGCUGGGGCCUGUUUGGCAGUGGUACUGGCCUGAUGUGCCCUGGGUAUUAAGGACUGUUGUUUGCUGUGGUAGUAAAAUGAGCUACUUGGGUCACAGCAAAGUAUCUGCUGGCCUUAAAUUUUAUAUUUGGAGUCUGCAAUAGAUGACAAAUACAGGACACCCCAGUGCCCUUGGGCUGUGCUGCAACAUGCUGCAGUCACCGAAACCACUGAGCAGUGUUGCUCCAACAGCAAACAAAACUUCUUUACAUGCUCAUGAUGACUCUUAGUAGCUUAAGUGUUUGAUAAAUAAGAUGGAGAAACAAACAAACAGAUGUAUGUUUAUCUAGAGACUUUUUUGAUGCCCAUCCUCUAUGGUUUCAUAAAUACUGCUAGAUAAAAAGGGGAGUUGCGAACAACGCUCUGGGACAUGGCUUGAAGAAAAUAUUCAGAGGUAAACUAAGAAUAAAUCUCUGUAAGACAGAAUGGUUUACUUCACCUUGGGAGAGCAGGGAAUACUGCUGCAAGAGUUGGAAGCCAGAAAUCCAAGAGGAAAUCCUCAAAGAUGAUAUGAAUAAACUGAGAAGGAGAAGAUGCAUGGAAAAUCAAUAACAUCAAUCAAGGUCAGACAAACAAAAAAAUGCCCCGACUAGAAUAGAAGUUGUAAAGGAGAUAGAAACAACAAAUAUGCGCUGUUUUAUUUCCUCAUGUGUACACGUACUGUGUAAGCUACAGCUAUUUUGUCUUUGGGAUAAAUACAUCAGUAAAUCCAGAAUAUAAAUAAAUACAGUUAAUUUUUCAAAAGGAGGCCAAUGAUAUCAGUAUCUUUUUGCUCGUGUAUAAAUGUAGUACGCUACAACUUUCUUAAUAAUCUGGUUUAUAACAGUGUUAGAAAAUAUCUACUAGUAAAAGGCAUCAUUAUUAUAGAUCAGAUUCUUCGUGAAACUUGACAGAAUCCAAGUGUGUAAACUACAAGUCUUGGUAUAGGAAACUUACUGAGAUGUGGAUUAAUCUCACUAGUAAGUCUCUUUAUCAUUUCUGAAGCCUUAUCUCUCAAGUAAGGAAUUCUCAGCAAUAGAAGUGUAACAUGAGAAAAUAAAGUUAUCUAGAAGGAACUUUGGAAUGGAAGAUAAUAGGAACACAGGAAUGACUAGGCUGGGUAAGAUCAAGAACUUAGUAAGACCAGUAUUUUGCAUCUCAUAAUGCCCAAGAACAAAUGCUUAAGGAAGGUAAUAAGGACUGGGCAAGGAAUAUCUGCCAUUUUCCCUGAGCUCUGAGCCGUUUGCAGCUAAGAAAUGUCUACAGCCAGGCAUUAUUUCUGCAUAUUUAGUAACUCUCAUGGAAUCCUUCUGUGGACUUGUGCAGCCAUCUGCUGAAAUCUUGUGAACUUCUAGGAACACCAAAAUCUUAGCAGGGAGCUUCACAGCUUAAAAAGUGUUUUGUUUAUUUUGGGGGUGAAUGGGUGGGGGAGGAAGGGCUUUGUUUUUGUUUUGAUAUUCAAGGAUCACAGCUUUAUACUGAAAUGUAGCCUGGGUUUCUGAAUCUGGCUCCUGCUGCAAAACCUGAUCUGUGAGUGCAAGCUCUGCCAGAACAAACUGCAGGAAUGGGGCCUCCAGCAUUGCCAGUGUGCAGUGAGUGAAACUAAUCAGUAAGGAGAAGAAAUUAACAGCAGUGUAAGACCCCGCACAUCAAAAUAACAAAUGGGGGACAUUUUCAGAAUGCAAUAUAGGACAUUCUGAGUGCUGUGUGGCUUAGUACGGUGCCACAGGGCUUUAGUUAACAUUCCAUUGGUGUUUUUUUUUUUCUUUUGUGAAGCUCUGUUUUCAAUUUUCAGAGCGUAGCAGUGUUACCAAAUAUGGGAUAAUCUGCUGCUGCUCUGGACAUGUAUCACUGUUUCUGCACUGGAGAUGAAAACCAGAAAUCAAUUCUUCCUUUGCCUGGUGGGAAGUACUGAUUCCCUGUAGCUUCUGUAGUAGAGACACAGAAGCUUAUAGGCAGGUGUUAUGUGAAAUCAGAACUUUCCUGGUGUGUGCUCAUAGAAUUUAAACACAAAAUGAUUGGAUACAGCAUACAGAGUUGGAAAGGGUUAAGCUGUUCAGAUUGUCUGCUUUAGGUGGAACAGAUUUUUUUUUUUUUUCCUUGAAGAGGAAAAUAAACAAUUCACUUAUCCCUAGGGUGGUAGCAAGCCCUAACAGGGGAAAGCAGGACACAUUCCUUCCUUCAUUUACAACUAGUCAGUCACUGAAUUGCUCCCAACACAUUCCAGAUCUGGUAGGAUAGCUUAAAUGUUUUCACCUGCGGGCCAGUGUCUGAAUUCCUGACAGUUAAUAGAACACCUAAGGAGCGAGGCACCGCAAUUUCUUUCUGAUGAAAGUGUGUUAUGCACCCACUCCCAUGGUUGUUAGCAAUUUCAUAGGUUCAUUUGCACCUGAAGACUUGAGAGUUUCUAGGGUGGAACUGUGUGUAUGAAAGCUCGAGCCUAGUGCUGUCAUCAAACACAAUCUCUCAGCAAAGACUUAGAACAGAUCUAUGAAAGGAGAAUUGUUUAUUGUAAUAAGUUGUGGUUAUGAGUGAAAUUUUAAUUGCUUCCUUUACAGUGAAAGAUCUGUAGGGAGAAGGGAAUGCUGCUGGUUUGCUUUCGCUGGUGAUGAAACAGGAACGUUUCUGUAAUGAUUCCUGAUCAGUUGUGCAGUGUUAUCCUAUAAAGCAGGUGACAUUUUGCAAAGUUGUUUGGUCAGAUUAAGACAAAAUUAUUUCUGUCCCAGAAUAUGAUCACCUUGUGCUCUGGAUUACAGUGCCGCUAUUCUGCAGAAUGUCAAGAGGGGCCCCACGGUCCAGAUCUCAAUGGAACACACAUUAAAAGCAUAACAGGAAGUUUACAACUUUUCCCAAACAAACAGCUAAAUAAUUAAACAAGGAAAAUGAAACACUUGAGUAUUCCAACUCAAAGCAAUCUGAUGCUGUUAUGUACCUAUUCCAUUUGUACUAUCACUUCUGAGGCAUUCUAUCAAAUGCUUCAAAACACCAUCCUGGUAAGCAGAGGUAAAUGUCACUGUUGUUUCAGGUAAAGACUGAGGAAUAUCUCUGAAAGCAGCUGUUUCUAGAAACAUUUUGAUAGUUUUGAUGAGGCAUCAGGAAGCUCCUUAUACCAUGCUAGCACAGUAAACAGUAUUAGUAUUAGCAGCACAGAGGUGGUUCUUUAUUCAUAGAAAUGAAUAUAAAGUAAGAGCAGAAGGUCUUUCAGGCUUGAAAAUGGUGGUGAAGGUGACUCUGAAUUAAGUAAAAAUGUGCAAGACUGUAACUAGGAUGAUACUCAAAAGAGUGAGAAUAUUAGUAAUAUUAUUUUUACUUAUGUUUACUUUCCGAUACGUCUUAUUGAGUAGAAUAAUGGCUUAAUACAUGACUUUGUGAACAUAAUGAAAUAAUUGCAUAAUUGGGAGACAAGAACAGAGGGAAAUUAUGGGAGGAAAGAAGUUCUGACUAUAGGAAGACACCUAUAUUAUCCUGACAUGCACCCAGGCGUUAAUUCCAAUUAGACUGAAAGCCUGCAUAAAUCAGAGCCUUGAGUUCCCAUUGAUAAAGAAAUAUUACUUCCCCAAAACUGCAUCCUGUUUUCACAUAUUGUACAUUUUGAGCAGUGUUCAGAGAUUACAAUUAAUUAGUUCCUGUAAUUAAUUUCAAAAUAAAUCUGAGAUGAGAAGGGUCUUAACCAUGUGUAGGGCUGUUGCUGGAGUGAAAUUAAUGGUACCAUUUUCAUCAAACCUCUUAAGCUUAACAUGUGUGAUGGCCAACAAAAAAACAGCUGUCAGUAGCAGACACUUUAAUUUUAUGUUACUGUUAAUGCUCUGAAUAAUUAACUAUUUCAGUUACACAGACAUUCUCAGGAGUGUUUUUUGGGGUGUAUGUAUAUAAACAGUUCCAACAUAGCACACAAAUGGAAUAGCAAUCUCAGGUGAUCUUUGGUCCCCUAACUACUGAAACUUUAAUCAAAGCAAACCAACAGAGACUGAGAUUGCUUUAACUACGAUGAGAACAGGAGGAAUAUAUUUCUUAAAUGCAUGAUGGAUAAACCAAAGGGAAAAAUAAGCCACCUCUAAUAAGUAUGCAAGGCUUAGGAAUAAAGAUCAAAUGAAUACAGACUCAGAAGAAUAACAAACGUGACUUUAGGAUUGAAACAAUCUGUCAAGAUUAAAGCAAAUUCCAAUAUUGCCUUCCAUUAAUUGUAUAAUAUUUGUUUAUUACUGCUUUUAGCAUGGCCUCUCUCCAAAGCUGACACGACAAACAGCAUUAUGGCGCCAUCGUGUGGCACACUCCGUGAUUGCAUUACUCUUAGCUGAGAUUUCCACAGUGAGCGACCACAACCUUGUUCAGAGGCUCCUUUACAGCAAAAGUUUCACGUCUCUCUGGCUUUCACUGUGGCUACCCCUCCUGAGUUUCAGAUUAUCCAUGUGAAGGUUCUUUGAAGGGGAGGGAACUUUCCCUACUGUUCUAAAAUAGAUUUAAAUACACUGCUCAACCCCUGGUUAGUACAAUUCAUAGGAACAAGAAUAUGGAAAUGGGAUGUGUUUGAAGAAAAAUGCCAAUUGAGUGAGCUGCAAAUCAGCUGGAUCUGGUGGAGAAAAUUGGAAUAUGAAUCUUACUGCAUUGAUUCCAUGGGAAAUAUUUCAAAUGAGUGUGAAGUCAGGGUGGCAUGAGACAGAACAGGGAAUAGAGUAUCUACCUGCAAAAAGGAGGGAGAGAACAGAAGUUCUUUGUGUCUGAUGGGUCCUUAAAUGUUGUGCCCAGUGAGUUAAGGGAAUGUUGUAGCUGACGUGUGCAAUAAGAAUGGAGUGGUGUAUAAUCAGGUAUAAAAGUAGCCAAGAUUAUAUUGGACUUGCUUGGAUUUUUUUCCCAAACAUAUCUGCAUUUUCUAGGUGAAGGCAGUGUGACACAUUCCCUAAGUGAACACUAAUGAUGCCCACUGUGUGAUGCUCAGGAGGUUUUAAAUCAAGCUUGUGAAGUUGAUAAUUUUUAAAAGGACUAUAAUAUAGGCAAGGAACUGGUUAAAAGUGAUAAGUUACUGAAUGAUUUUGGGAAGCUGAAUCUGGGCUAGAAGAAAGCUAUCAGACUUUAAUGUAGUUAUUAGUGACCCUGAUGUAAAUGUUAUCAGUGUUCUGUUGACAAGAAAACUAGAAGGUAUCAUUAAUGAAGGGGAGAGGUAGAAUAUUAUGCUGGGUAAAAAACUUGGUUUAUCUAAAGAAAUGGAGGAAUCAAAACAGGAUAAAACUCUACACUAUAAACUAUAGCAACAUGUCUCUGAAGAAUAACAACAGAGAGCGUGCUGUCAGAUGAUAGUAUUUGGAAGUAGCAAGACAGGCUGAUCUAGUUGAUACACGUAAAAUGUGAUAGAGAUGUAAAAUCUCAAGCUUUACUUACCUACCACCUGAAGCAUUUUUCAGCAGAAAUAGGAGAUUAACACUGGUAUGAAUUAAAAAUAGAAUGUUCAGGAAGCCCAGAUGCAGAAAUGACUACUGAGGUUGCCAAAGGAAGAAAAAGGCUGAGAUUAGAUGUGAUAUCACCAUUACACAUAAAUGGUAAACAACAAGGAUGAAGAUUUGCUUAAGCAAAAGGACUAUGAUGGUGAAAACCAAACAAAAACUGGCUGUUUGUAAAUUAGUAGCAGAACUUAGGAGAUUCUGACCUACAGGGGUAAGACAAUACAACAAAUAUCCAGUUGGAACACAGGAACAAAAACUAGCUGUAUUUUAGCCCUAGUUGAUCAGAAAACCUCUGGGGAGAGACCCAGAACCACACACUGCAUGCUCUCAUGUGUAGAGCUGCUCUAUGGAGUUCUGCAGAGUUCUCUGGUGGUUUCUCUUCAAGAAACACUGAGUGUUCUGUAAGCUGCCAGCCCAGCUUCACCUGUGGUGGGCCAAGUGUUGCCAAUGACUAGUUGGACAUGUUAAUUCAUUAGAGCUGCCAGGAAGAUGCUGAGUGAUACCUUCAAAGCUAAGAACGCAGUUAAGAUAUCUGUGCUGGAAUGAAUAUACAGUGAAGAGUCACAACCAUAGAAUAAUUGUUUUGCUGGCACAGGCUGGUUGAGAGUUUUGUGCUAUUUCAAAGUGCUUGUUUGUGUUAAUAAUGCCUUGGGAAAGCAAACAAACAAAACCUAUGAACAAAUCAAACAUGUGAAGGGCUAGUUUGGGUUCCCAGCCCAAUAAUUCACUCCUAUAUAUACAAUACAGUUCUUUUAGAGUUCUU
This is a non-coding RNA of Coturnix japonica (Japanese quail), 9092 nucleotides long. NCBI's taxonomy places the organism in Eukaryota, Metazoa, Chordata, Aves, Galliformes, Phasianidae. The record is from RefSeq and is a predicted model, not a curated record.